GACGCUGCUUGGCACCAUGCCAGCGCACCUGCUAUUUUGCGCACCUGCUAUUUAAGUGGAGGAGACAAAUCUGCUCCCUCCCCCUCCGCUUCUCCUUUGUGGCCGCGUGGAUUGUUUGGCGUGGCAGCUCGCGCAUCACACUCUCUACCAGACAGCUGACGCCCGGUGCGUUUGAGGAGGAUUGGCUCCUCCGGAGGUUCCCGGUCUUGCAGUGUUGCAACUAUUGUGGGAUUUGGCCGUGGGAUUGUUGGGUCU
This is a long non-coding RNA of Gymnodraco acuticeps, 255 nucleotides long. RefSeq lists it as uncharacterized. NCBI's taxonomy places the organism in Eukaryota, Metazoa, Chordata, Actinopteri, Perciformes, Bathydraconidae. The record is from RefSeq and is a predicted model, not a curated record. The transcript is spliced from 3 exons.